AUAGUGGCUUUACUUAAAGCCACCAUCUUUAUCAGUUUCUAUGCCU
Pteropus alecto (black flying fox) is the source of this 46-nucleotide non-coding RNA. The record is from Rfam. NCBI's taxonomy places the organism in Eukaryota, Metazoa, Chordata, Mammalia, Chiroptera, Pteropodidae.